RNAcentral lists this transfer RNA (73 nucleotides) under Candidatus Lindowbacteria bacterium RIFCSPLOWO2_02_FULL_62_12. RNAcentral describes it as "tRNA-Thr". It matches the Rfam family "tRNA". Rfam says of the family: Transfer RNA (tRNA) molecules are approximately 80 nucleotides in length. Their secondary structure includes four short double-helical elements and three loops (D, anti-codon, and T loops). RNAcentral also lists the same sequence under 2 other names. Lineage: Bacteria; Candidatus Lindowiibacteriota. The record is from RNAcentral.
GCCAACGUAGCUCAGACGGUAGAGCAACGCACUCGUAAUGCGUAGGUCGGCGGUUCGAUUCCGCCCGUUGGCU